RNAcentral lists this ribosomal RNA (457 nucleotides) under Theileria sp. bougasvlei. RNAcentral describes it as "SSU rRNA". It matches the Rfam family "Eukaryotic small subunit ribosomal RNA", at positions 486 to 984 of the family's 1831-position model. The record is from RNAcentral. Lineage: Eukaryota; Apicomplexa; Aconoidasida; Piroplasmida; Theileriidae.
CGGGGCUUAAAGUCUUGUAAUUGGAAUGAUGGGAAUUUAAACCUCUUCCAGAGUAUCAAUUGGAGGGCAAGUCUGGUGCCAGCAGCCGCGGUAAUUCCAGCUCCAAUAGCGUAUAUUAAAAUUGUUGCAGUUAAAAAGCUCGUAGUUGAAUUUCUGCUGCAUCGCUACGUCCCCUCGGGGUCUCUGCAUGUGGCUUAUUUCAGACGAAGUUUCUUUGUCUGGAUGUUUACUUUGAGAAAAUUAGAGUGCUCAAAGCAGGCCUUUGCCUUGAAUAGUUUAGCAUGGAAUAAUAAAGUAGGACUUUGGUUCUAUUUUGUUGGUUUUAGGUACCAAAGUAAUGGUUAAUAGGAACAGUUGGGGGCAUUCGUAUUUAACUGUCAGAGGUGAAAUUCUUAGAUUUGUUAAAGACGAACUACUGCGAAAGCAUUUGCCAAGGAUGUUUUCAUUAAUCAAGAAC